GGGGUUGUGACUCAACGGUAGAGCGCUCACCUAGCACAUGAGAGGCCCUGAGUUCAAUCCUCAGAACCACA
RNAcentral lists this transfer RNA (71 nucleotides) under Marmota marmota marmota (Alpine marmot). It matches the Rfam family "tRNA". Rfam says of the family: Transfer RNA (tRNA) molecules are approximately 80 nucleotides in length. Their secondary structure includes four short double-helical elements and three loops (D, anti-codon, and T loops). The record is from Rfam by way of RNAcentral. RNAcentral also lists the same sequence under 1 other name. Lineage: Eukaryota; Metazoa; Chordata; Mammalia; Rodentia; Sciuridae.